RNAcentral lists this ribosomal RNA (498 nucleotides) under uncultured bacterium. Its description in RNAcentral is "partial 16S ribosomal RNA". It matches the Rfam family "Bacterial small subunit ribosomal RNA", at positions 30 to 523 of the family's 1533-position model. The record is from RNAcentral.
AUUGAACGCUGGCGGCAUGCCUUACACAUGCAAGUCGAACGGCAGCACGGGGCAACCUGGUGGCGAGUGGCGAACGGGUGAGUAAUGUAUCGGAACGUACCUUUCAGUGGGGGAUAACGUAGCGAAAGUUACGCUAAUACCGCAUAUUCUGUGAGCAGGAAAGCAGGGGAUCUUAGGACCUUGCGCUGAUUGAGCGGCCGAUAUCAGAUUAGCUAGUUGGUGAGGUAAAGGCUCACCAAGGCGACGAUCUGUAGCGGGUCUGAGAGGAUGAUCCGCAACACUGGAACUGAGACACGGUCCAGACUCCUACGGGAGGCAGCAGUGGGGAAUUUUGGACAAUGGGCGCAGGCCUGAUCCAGCCAUGCCGCGUGAGUGAAGAAGGCCUUCGGGUUGUAAAGCUCUUUCAGCCGGGAAGAAAACGCAUGGGUUAAUACCCUGUGUGGAUGACGGUACCGGAAUAAGAAGCACCGGCUAACUACGUGCCAGCCGCCGCCGUAA